This 274-nucleotide ribosomal RNA is filed under the name uncultured bacterium. RNAcentral's name for it is "partial 16S ribosomal RNA". It matches the Rfam family "Bacterial small subunit ribosomal RNA", at positions 523 to 796 of the family's 1533-position model. The record is from RNAcentral.
AUACGGAGGGUGCAAGCGUUACUCGGAAUCACUGGGCGUAAAGCGCGCGCAGGCGGGCUGAUAAGUUGGAUGUGAAAGCCUGCGGCUCAACCGUAGAACUGCAUCCAAAACUGUCAGUCUAGAGUCUGGGAGGGGAAGAUGGAAUUAGUUGUGUAGGGGUAAAAUCCGUAGAGAUAACUAGGAAUACCAAAAGCGAAGGCGAUCUUCUGGAACAGUACUGACGCUGAGGCGCGAAAGCGUGGGGAGCAAACAGGAUUAGAAACCCCAGUAGUCC